Molecule: ribosomal RNA, 352 nt
Filed under: Scaphiophryne calcarata (Mocquard's rain frog)
Lineage: Eukaryota; Metazoa; Chordata; Amphibia; Anura; Microhylidae
Description: partial 12S ribosomal RNA
Rfam family: Bacterial small subunit ribosomal RNA
Source: RNAcentral
CAAAACCGCCAGGGAAUUACGAGCCCAAGCUUAAAACCCAAAGGACUUGACGGUGUCCCACCCACCUAAAGGAGCCUGUUCUAUAAUCGAUUCUCCCCGAUAAACCUCACCACUUUUAGCCAACUCAGCCUGUAUACCUCCGUCGUAAGCUUACCAUAUGAACGCUAAUUAGUGAGCUUAAAGAUCUUUACAUCAACACGUCAGGUCARGGUGCAGCUCACGAAGUGGGAAGUAAUGGGCUACAAUUUCUAACUUARAACACACGAAAGACUACAUGAAACACAGUCAUGAAGGCGGAUUUAGCAGUAAAAAGAAAAUAGAGAGUUCUUUUUAAUUAGGCGCUGGGACGCGU